This 508-nucleotide ribosomal RNA is filed under the name uncultured bacterium. RNAcentral describes it as "partial 16S ribosomal RNA". It matches the Rfam family "Bacterial small subunit ribosomal RNA", at positions 30 to 523 of the family's 1533-position model. The record is from RNAcentral.
AUUGAACGCUGGCGGCAUGCCUUACACAUGCAAGUCGAACGGCAGCGGGGGAGAAGCUUGCUUUUCCUGCCGGCGAGUGGCGAACGGGUGAGUAAUACAUCGGAACGUGCCCUGUAGUGGGGGAUAACUAGUCGAAAGAUUAGCUAAUACCGCAUACGACCUGAGGGUGAAAGCGGGGAACCGCAAGGCCUCAUGCUAUAGGAGCGGCCGAUGUCUGAUUAGCUAGUUGGUGGGGUAAAGGCCUACCAAGGCGACGAUCAGUAGCUGGUCUGAGAGGACGAUCGGCCAGACUGGGACUGAGACACGGCCCCGACUCCUACGGGAGGCAGCAGUGGGGAAUUUUGGACAAUGGGCGAAAGCCUGAUCCAGCAAUGCCGCGUGUGUGAAGAAGGCCUUCGGGUUGUAAAGCACUUUUGUCCGGAAAGAAAUGGCUCUGGUUAAUACCUGGGGUCGAUGACGGUACCGGAAGAAUAAGGACCGGCUAACUACGUGCCAGCCGCCGCGGUAA